GGGGUUGUAACACAGUGGUAGAGUGCUUGCCUGGCAUGUGUGAGGCCCUGGGUUCGAUACUCAGCACCACCU
Molecule: transfer RNA, 72 nt
Filed under: Ictidomys tridecemlineatus (thirteen-lined ground squirrel)
Lineage: Eukaryota; Metazoa; Chordata; Mammalia; Rodentia; Sciuridae
Description: Spermophilus tridecemlineatus (thirteen-lined ground squirrel) tRNA
Rfam family: tRNA
About the family: Transfer RNA (tRNA) molecules are approximately 80 nucleotides in length. Their secondary structure includes four short double-helical elements and three loops (D, anti-codon, and T loops).
Source: Rfam by way of RNAcentral